RNAcentral lists this unclassified non-coding RNA (329 nucleotides) under soil metagenome. Its description in RNAcentral is "partial contains 5.8S ribosomal RNA, internal transcribed spacer 2, and large subunit ribosomal RNA". The stretch from base 1 to 120 matches the Rfam family "5.8S ribosomal RNA", at positions 35 to 154 of the family's 154-position model. The record is from RNAcentral.
GAUGAAGAACGCAGCGAAAUGCGAUAAGUAAUGUGAAUUGCAGAAUUCAGUGAAUCAUCGAAUCUUUGAACGAACAUUGCGCCCCCUGGUAUUCCGGGGGGCAUGCCUGUCCGAGCGUCAUUACAACCCUCAAGCUCAGCUUGGUGUUGGGCCCCGCCGCCCCGGCGGGCCCUAAAGUCAGUGGCGGUGCCGUCCGGCUCCGAGCGUAGUAAUUCUUCUCGCUCUGGAGGUCCGGUCGUGUGCUCGCCAGCAACCCCCAAUUUUUUUCAGGUUGACCUCGGAUCAGGUAGGGAUACCCGCUGAACUUAAGCAUAUCAAUAAGCGGAGGA